CGCGUAGGCGGUUUUUUAAGUCUGAUGUGAAAGCCCACGGCUCAACCGUGGAGGGUCAUUGGAAACUGGAAACUUGAGUGCAGAAGAGGAAAGUGGAAUUCCAUGUGUAGCGGUGAAAUGCGCAGAGAUAUGGAGGAACACCAGUGGCGAAGGCGACUUUCUGGUCUGUAACUGACGCUGAUGUGCGAAAGCGUGGGGAUCAAACA
This 206-nucleotide ribosomal RNA is filed under the name uncultured bacterium. RNAcentral's name for it is "partial 16S ribosomal RNA". It matches the Rfam family "Bacterial small subunit ribosomal RNA", at positions 568 to 774 of the family's 1533-position model. The record is from RNAcentral.